GUAUUUGUAUGAUUUAAAGUUAAUAAAUUAACUUUCUUAUUGUCUAUUUUUUUUCCCUAGGCAAAAAGGUUCUGAUGCUUCAUGGAAAGAUAACAAUGAGCCUCCUGAAGAGCAUUUAGAUUAUUCUGAUGAUGAACAGGAAAGAGCAGCUAAAUUGAAGCGAAGGGG
Non-coding RNA from Parasteatoda tepidariorum (common house spider), 168 nucleotides. NCBI's taxonomy places the organism in Eukaryota, Metazoa, Arthropoda, Arachnida, Araneae, Theridiidae. The record is from RefSeq and is a predicted model, not a curated record.